GUAACUAUUUCAAUUCGCGGCACACAUAUUUCACAAUUUCGAACCAAACAAUCCCGUUCAGUAUUUUUCAGUACAUUUGGAAUGUCUUUUUUCGUAUCUUCCCUCUUUUUGUGUCCCUCUUUUCACAGGAGAAUAAAGACUACAGGGAGUUCAAAGACAAGGAUGUGAGCGAGAUAUACAUUCGCUAUCGUACACUUUUUGGCGACAGCUAUGAUGGGGAGAAGUACGCGGUCACGCCGACUAAGUUGUGCCG
This 253-nucleotide long non-coding RNA is filed under the name Olea europaea (common olive). Its description in RNAcentral is "long non-coding RNA (OEUR_LNC008816)". The record is from RNAcentral. Lineage: Eukaryota; Viridiplantae; Streptophyta; Magnoliopsida; Lamiales; Oleaceae.